This 253-nucleotide ribosomal RNA is filed under the name uncultured bacterium. RNAcentral's name for it is "partial 16S ribosomal RNA". It matches the Rfam family "Bacterial small subunit ribosomal RNA", at positions 524 to 776 of the family's 1533-position model. The record is from RNAcentral.
UACGUAGGGUGCGAGCGUUAAUCGGAAUUACUGGGCGUAAGGCGUGCGCAGGCGGUUUUGUAAGCCAGAUGUGAAAUCCCCGGGCUUAACCUGGGAAUGGCAUUUGGGACUGCAAGGCUGGAGUUUGGCAGAGGAGACUGGAAUUCCUGGUGUAGCAGUGAAAUGCGUAGAUAUCAGGAGGAACACCGAUGGCGAAGGCAGGUCUCUGGGCUGAAACUGACGCUCAUGCACGAAAGCGUGGGGAGCAAACAGG